Molecule: ribosomal RNA, 253 nt
Filed under: uncultured microorganism
Description: partial 16S ribosomal RNA
Rfam family: Bacterial small subunit ribosomal RNA
Source: RNAcentral
UACGUAGGGUGCGAGCGUUAAUCGGAUUUACUGGGCGUAAAGCGUGCGCAGGCGGCCCGUUAAGACAGGUGUGAAAUCCCUGGGCUCAACCUAGGAAUUGCGCUUGUGACUGGCGGGCUCGAGUACGGUAGAGGGGGGUGGAAUUCCUGGUGUAGCAGUGAAAUGCGUAGAGAUCAGGAGGAACACCGAUGGCGAAGGCAGCCCACUGGGCCUGUACUGACGCUCAUGCACGAAAGCGUGGGGAGCAAACAGG